Molecule: unclassified non-coding RNA, 499 nt
Filed under: Hevea brasiliensis (rubber tree)
Lineage: Eukaryota; Viridiplantae; Streptophyta; Magnoliopsida; Malpighiales; Euphorbiaceae
Source: RNAcentral
GUAAGUUUUUGAAUUGCCAUGGAAUGCCAGUGUUUGUUUAUAGAAGAUGGCUCUUGUGUAAAUUGCUGUAAAUGAAUAGACACUUCUUUCAGUGAAGAUAGAAUCAUACAAUGUUAAGUUGUCCGCUGAAUUAGGCUGACUGUUGGUGGUGCUGAAAAAUAGUUUGCAAUUUUUCACUCUUAAAUAUGCUCUCAGAGGCUUGUAGUGUAUAUGCAACAAAUUUUGAAUUGAUUAUGGCAUGAGUUCUUUGCUUUCCAUUUAACAUUUGUGGGUACAUGUUAGUUGUUUAAUUUUCAAAGACUAAGCUUUAUCCAUCUUAUAGAUGUCCUAUUAUUUACAAUAUUAGACUGGAUAAAAAUAGUUUGCAAAUGUAUGUAAGGCAAACUAUUUUGAUAUCUGGUAUUUAUAUAUAAUUUCAUAAUCAUUGUGGUUGUUUCAUUUAUAUUUUCUUGACCUUUUCAUCUGUCUGCUGUAGUACUGAUGUCUCGAUGGAUGAACG